Molecule: long non-coding RNA, 746 nt
Organism: Pieris brassicae (large cabbage white)
Lineage: Eukaryota; Metazoa; Arthropoda; Insecta; Lepidoptera; Pieridae
Exons: 3
Source: RefSeq, a predicted model, not a curated record
UACACGCUACUAGUAUUAAAUUAAUAUGAUUUUUAGUUAGCCCCAAGCCUCACGCAGAUACGUGUAUUAAAAAUUUCGCCACCGUCGAACGUAUUAGUCGUAGUUUGUGAGAAGUAUUUUGAGUGAAGGGACUUUGGUUUGUUUAAAUGAAUAAAAAGGAUUAGGAUUAUUAAUAAAGCAUUGCUUUUUGACGUAAAAAAGCCAGAAAUUGAAUUGAAGCCAAGGCUUGGCUUGAUAAACAUUAUUCGUACUCUGCACCAGAUUUGGACCCAGUUGGUAUUUCCUAGGAUGGAAACGAAGCAAUCCAUACCGAUGGACGGACACUUGGAAUCAUAAAUCCAUCACAUGCAGCCUUCUACCCCAAUGGUCGAAGAAAUCCCCAACCUGGAUACGAUGCCAGCUCAUGCUCACAUGGAGGCUCAACUGAAUUAUUUGCUGCAACUGUUCAACACACACAUAAGAUUAGGUUAGGCGACAAUGCCGUAAUGUAUGCGAAGCUGAGGUGUCCACUUGUCAUGGCAAUUAAUUUUACAUGGGUAACGCGAAUCUCGGCAAACACGGUAACGGCUUGUUUGGCUUAACGACUGUAGCUAAUUGGCCUAUCUAGUACUAAUAACCAAAAUUUCAAGGAUGCAACUCAAAUAUUUAAAAAAAUAUUUUAAUCGUAUCGUAUUUCUAUAGAAAUAAAAAUUAUAACUAAUUAAACACAUUUGAUAGGAGGUUAUGUAUCUAAAUUUUUCGCUAAG